UGCCCUACGGGAGGCAGCAGUAGGGAAUCUUGCGCAAUGGGCGAAAGCCUGACGCAGCCAUGCCGCGUGAAUGAUGAAGGUCUUAGGAUUGUAAAAUUCUUUCACCGGGGACGAUAAUGACGGUACCCGGAGAAGAAGCUCCGGCUAACUUAGUGCCAGCAGCCGCGGUAAUACGAAGGGGGCUAGCGUUGCUCGGAAUUACUGGGCGUAAAGGGCGCGUAGGCGGACAGUUUAGUCCGAGGUGAAAGCCCAGGGCUCAACCUUGGAAUUGCCUUUGAUACUGGCUGUCUUGAGUACGGGAGAGGUGAGUGGAACUCCGGGUGUAGAGGUGAAAUUCGUAGAUAUUCGGAAGAACACCAGUGGCGAAGGCGACUCACUGGCCCGUUACUGACGCUGAGGCGCGAAAGCGUGGGGAGCAAACAGGAUUAGAUACCCCAGUAGUCCG
RNAcentral lists this ribosomal RNA (445 nucleotides) under uncultured Phenylobacterium sp. RNAcentral describes it as "bacterial SSU rRNA". It matches the Rfam family "Bacterial small subunit ribosomal RNA", at positions 335 to 797 of the family's 1533-position model. The record is from RNAcentral. Lineage: Bacteria; Pseudomonadati; Pseudomonadota; Alphaproteobacteria; Caulobacterales; Caulobacteraceae.